UGGGACGCUGAUCAGACAGCGGGAAAUGCUCUGUGUUUAAAAUAAAUUUAUUUUCCCCCCACUUAACCGUGAAAGGGACCGUUGCGUAUCUCCACUUUAGGGAAUGUAAAUCGAGCACUCGUUAUGAACCGCUGAGCUGCAGAAAGGGAGAUGAAGGCAGCACUGCUAACUGCACCAAGUAAACUUAAUAAUAAAACAGAAAGCAGAUACAAACGCAGUAAGUAGGCGAAAGACGGGCUUUGCGGGUCGGGGUGGGGGCGAUAGUGGCAGAGGAUUUAACCAGCGAGCCCGGGAAAGGCCGAUUAAGCAAGCAGCCCCCGGCCGGCCUGCCCACCCCGCUUCGCUGUUUCAACUACACCUAGUUCGAAGAAAAUUACAUUUCAGACUCCAUCUGCUUUUGCGAGCAACUAUUACAGAUUUGCCACGAUUGAAAACCACCACCGCCGCACACGCGCCUCUUCUGCUCGCGUAUUUUACACUUUAUACAGAUCCCUAACAGCUGCAGCCCAGCCCUCGCUGGUGUUAUCCACCAGGUGUGCAGGAGCUACUUUAAAAAGAGCCGAGAGGGUUUUCUGUGUCCUGGAGCACUAAUAGCAGUCUUGUGCAUAUCAGCUCUGAAAAGUUACACACGUGAAGAUUUCUGAUGCGAAUGAUGAACUGAACGCUUAACGUUAACGUUACUGUUUUGCUCGGAUACUGUCCCUGAGAUUAAUAAAAAUUUAACAUAGCUUAUUUUAUAUGUAGACUGGUGGUAAGGAGGUCUCUCUUCCAGGCUUGUUAAGUAUUUGACCUGGCAAGUGUCACCUAGGAUUUUGAUAUUAAUCUAGGAAAUUUGCUUUUUUGUCCUAAUACAGAUUGAUUUAUGGACAUUAAUGUUUUUAGGUAAAAGGGACGCAUUGUUAUUUCCCCCCACCCCCACCCCCUCCCUGUUCUUACUAACUGGAUGGGUCGUGGAGUUGACAGCAGCCGCUGGUCCAUGCCACCGAACUAAAAUAAUUUCACAGUGAAAAACCAGCUCGAGAGGACAAGCAACAGAAGGGCAAAACCCAUCAAAACCUGAAACUCUGAUCAAUCUGACCAGAGUCAGGCAUACAUUAGUUUAAAUUAAACUGUUUCUUCUUUCUCACAGAUCUUUUUUGAACAUUAAACGCAUGUAAUAUUUAAAUCAACUCUUGUCAGAUGCUAAGUGGAACUAAAGAACUAAAAUAAAAAUGCGUUUCCAUCCCUUCUCAAAGGCUUAUGCUGGAUGCCACUUCGACAAAAUACUUCUGAUAAGCAACGCUUAGAAAAGAAAGGUUCUGUUUAUCUUAUCUACGGGGAAAUGUAAUGAUGCUCGUUUCAUGAAACAAUAAAACACCGAACUCCACAGACAGCAAAGGAGUUUCUGUAAUAUAUCUGAGCUUAUAUGGGCAUAUGUAUCUUGGUUUAUUCGUACAUGUCCACUCCAAACACAUACGUAUAAUUUUGCUUGCCUGAUUUUAGAAUGCAAAACGUAAGCUAGAGCUAAAAUACCGGGAUGCCGUAAAGACGGGAAAAUUUUCCGCAGUGAUAAGAGGCUCCAUUUUCUAAGAGCGGGAAGUCACCCGCUGCCCAUCGCUGUCUCUGAAGGUACCCUCCUAGCAGCCAGCAAGAUCAACCAGGUGCUGCUGCUGCAAAAAUCCCACCUCUGGCCGCUUGUUCUGUGCGUGUGUGCGUGCAGAGCAAUGCACAGACUUUGUUCUCUCUACAUGUCUGAAAUUCAUCAUCCGCUCCCCCCUUGCCUCCACCCCAUCCCCUAUGUGAAAGUAAAUCCGUUCAGGCUUUGAAUAUUGUAAGAAACCUUGUGUGUAUUUUUUUUAAAUCUUCAAAUGAAUUAAAGACAACCUGACAAUGCUGUCAUCUGUCUUCAACGUCACAUCAAGGCAUGAAAUAAUGAUAACAGAGCAGCAGAAAGACGCCCACUGAAACCUGGAGGAUAUAUAUACACAUAUACAGACACACAUAUAUGUCUUGAAACAGCUUGAAAGAGAACAAAAUUAGAUUACGGUUCUUAGGCUAUCACAGUAAGAACGUGGGAGGUUUUUUCUGGGGUUGUUUUUUGUUGGCCAAGUGCUUCAUCUUUCCUGCUUGACUUCGUGAAGCGUGUGCUCCUUGAUCCAAACCACUUCUGUGGGAUGGGGUAAGACAACGAGCAGGCACAUUCUUUGCUCCUAAACUACU
This is a long non-coding RNA of Neopsephotus bourkii (Bourke's parrot), 2199 nucleotides long. RefSeq lists it as uncharacterized. Lineage: Eukaryota; Metazoa; Chordata; Aves; Psittaciformes; Psittacidae. The transcript has 3 exons. The record is from RefSeq and is a predicted model, not a curated record.